Molecule: long non-coding RNA, 863 nt
Organism: Erigeron canadensis
Lineage: Eukaryota; Viridiplantae; Streptophyta; Magnoliopsida; Asterales; Asteraceae
Exons: 2
Source: RefSeq, a predicted model, not a curated record
CUGUAUCUAUCAUUCGGGCCGGCGCCGAAAAUAUGAGACACCACAGGCAAUCUAUCCAUCCGGUGACCGCCACGCUUGCUUCAGCCGCACUAAUUGCUUCAGAUGGAAAAAUUCAAUCGGCCUGCAGAAAUGACUAGGUGAAACUGUAGCAACUGAUGAAUCCAGUAACGUUUGAGUGAUGUUGAGUUCCAUCGUUUCCUCGUUUAUAAAUGGGGGAUCAGAGGGGACAGAUAACGGUUCAUCAUCCCUUGUUAACAUUCUUAGUGCAAGUGAUACAGAUGGUCUUAAAGAUGGGGCUUCUUGAGUGCAAAGAAGUCCUACGUGUAUCACUCUUUUCGCAUCUUUUUGGAAAAUGAUGUUAGGAUAUCUAUGCAUCAUUAAGUUCGGGUCAAAUAUUUCCUCCAUAGUCCCUUGUUUGAAAUGCUUCUAUGCCUGCUCAUCCACAAGUAAUUGUUAUAUGUGAUUGGAUGCGUGAUGACUAUUCUACAUUUUCAUAAUACUAAUAAAGCUAAUGAUAUCUUCAUCUUUGGGUAUGGAAAUAUCAAACAUGUGAUUGUAAUUUUGUCAUCUCUGAAAAUGAAAAAGUAUGUUCCAGUGCUAGUUGAAGAUUUGUUACUUACGAUAGACACUAAGCUGUCUGUAUAUUCUGUGAGUUUGCUUCUGUUGUUUUCCAUUCCCGAGAUAACCUCUAGCAGUAACAUACCAAAGCUGUAGACAUCGGCCUUUUCUGUUAAUUGACCAUGGGCUAGGUACUCUGGAGCUAUAUACCCAGUGGUGAAGUUAUAAAAGUUUGAAAAGAAUUUACAUACUAUAUUGUGUAAUUUAUAUCUAAAUGAUAUCCCAAAUAUAAGAUUAUCAACUAA